Molecule: ribosomal RNA, 497 nt
Filed under: uncultured bacterium
Lineage: Bacteria
Description: partial 16S ribosomal RNA
Rfam family: Bacterial small subunit ribosomal RNA
Source: RNAcentral
GAUGAACGCUGGCGGCGUGCCUAACACAUGCAAGUCGAACGAACAGACGAGGAGUUUGUUCCUCUGACGUUUGCGGAGGACGGGUGAGUAACACGUGUAUCACCUCCCUAUCUGACGGGGAUAACUUCGGAAAACCGGAGCUUACACCGGAUAAUAUAUUGCACCGCAUUGUUCAAUAGUGAGAUACGGUUUUUGUGUCACUACUCGAUGGUUACGCGCCGCAUGAGCUAGUUGUUAAGUUCACGGGUUACCAAGGCUACGAGGCGUAGCCGAACUGAGAGGGUGGUCGGCCACACGGGAGGUGAGACACGGUCCAGACUCCUACGGGAGGCAGCAGUAGGGAAUCUUACGCAAUGGGGGAGAGUCUGACGGAGCAACGCGGAGUGAGUGGUGAAGGUGCUCGGUUCGUGAAGAUCUGUUAUGAGGGAAGAACAAAUGUGGAAGUAACUGUGCAGGUAGUGACGGUACCGAGUCAGAAAGCCACGGCUAACUACGUG